AAACACACUCAAACAGGUAAUGAAAAACAGAUUCAAAGAGGUGAAAACAGAGUUAAAUGGGUAAAAAAAGACUCAAACUGAUAAAUACAGACUUAAACGGGUAAUGAAAAACAGAUUCAAAUGGUUAAAACACACUCAAACUGGUAAAUACAGACUUAAACAGGUAAUGAAAAACAGAUUCAAAGAGGUGAAAAGAGUUAAAUGAGUAAAAAAAGACUCAAACUGAUAAAUACAGACUUAAACGGGUAAUGAAAAACAGAUUCAAAUGGUUAAAACACUCAAACUGGUAAAUACAGACUUAUGAAAAACAAUUCAAAGAUGUAAAAACAGCUUCAAACAAGUAAAACACUUUCAAGCAGGUAAAAAAAAAAGACUCAAACUGGUAAAAACAGACUUAAACAAGUAACGAAAAAGAUUCAAAUGGGUAAAAACAGCAUCAAACAAGUAAAACACACUCAAAUAGGUAAAAAAGACAAACUGGUAAAUACAGACUUAAACAGGUAAUGAAAAACAGAGUCAAACAGGUCAUAUAAAAAGAUAUAAACUGGUAAAAAAAAACAGACUUAAAUUGGUAAAAACAGAAUCAACCUAGUAAGAAGCAGACUCAGACAAGUAAUGACAGACUCUAACAGGUUUAAACUGGUAAAAACAGACUCGAACCGGCUAUAACAGGCUUAAAAUGUAAAAAAAAAAAAAAAAAAAAAACCACAAACAGGUAAAAAAAAAAGAAAAAAAAAAAAAAGACUCAAACAGGUGAACACAGGCUCAAAACGAUAAAGAUAGACUCAAACACAGACAAAAAACAACAACAAAAACAGGUAGAUAGGUAAAAACUGACUUAAAUACAGGCUCAAACUGGUCAACACAGACUAAAAAAAACAAGUAAAUAAGCUCAAAAGACCGACUCAAACCAAUAAAAACAGUAAAA
This is a long non-coding RNA of Ctenopharyngodon idella (grass carp), 928 nucleotides long. RefSeq lists it as uncharacterized. The transcript is spliced from 2 exons. The record is from RefSeq and is a predicted model, not a curated record. NCBI's taxonomy places the organism in Eukaryota, Metazoa, Chordata, Actinopteri, Cypriniformes, Xenocyprididae.